RNAcentral lists this unclassified non-coding RNA (371 nucleotides) under soil metagenome. Its description in RNAcentral is "partial contains 5.8S ribosomal RNA, internal transcribed spacer 2, and large subunit ribosomal RNA". The stretch from base 1 to 120 matches the Rfam family "5.8S ribosomal RNA", at positions 35 to 154 of the family's 154-position model. The record is from RNAcentral.
GAUGAAGAACGUAGUGAAAUGCGAUAAGUAAUGUGAAUUGCAGAAUUCAGUGAAUCAUCGAAUCUUUGAACGCACAUUGCGCCCCCUGGAAUUCCGGGGGGCAUGCCUGUUCGAGCGUCUCAGGGACGAACCCUCGCGCGGGUGUACGCGCGGUCGUGGCUGCGGUGGCGUGCCCGAGGCGGCGGCCACCGCGCUGGAAUCCAUGGGCGGACGCCUGCCGCGUGGCCGAGCGUGAUAUGACGCAUUGGCGCUCGCACGCGGCGAGGCUGCCAGCCCUGGCCCGUCUGUCGGGCGGGGGAGAGCAAGACACGUGAACUCCUCGAAUCAGGUAGGGAUACCCGCUGAACUUAAGCAUAUCAAUAAGCGGAGGA